This 247-nucleotide ribosomal RNA is filed under the name uncultured bacterium. RNAcentral describes it as "partial 16S ribosomal RNA". It matches the Rfam family "Bacterial small subunit ribosomal RNA", at positions 87 to 334 of the family's 1533-position model. The record is from RNAcentral.
CGGACUGAGUGGCGGACGGGUGAGUAACGCGUGGGUAACCUGCCUCAUACAGGGGGAUAACAGUUAGAAAUGACUGCUAAUACCGCAUAAGACCACAGUACCGCAUGGUACAGGGGUAAAAACUCCGGUGGUAUGAGAUGGACCCGCGUCUGAUUAGGUAGUUGGUGGGGUAACGGCCUACCAAGCCGACGAUCGGUAGCCGGACUGAGAGGUUGAACGGCCACAUUGGGACUGAGACACGGCCCAG